This 402-nucleotide ribosomal RNA is filed under the name bacterium. RNAcentral's name for it is "partial 16S ribosomal RNA". It matches the Rfam family "Bacterial small subunit ribosomal RNA", at positions 355 to 776 of the family's 1533-position model. The record is from RNAcentral.
UGGGGAAUUUUGCACAAUGGGGGAAACCCUGAUGCAGCGACGCCGCGUGAUUUAGAAGGCCUUCGGGUUGUAAAAAUCUUUUCUAUGGGAAGAAAAUGACAGUACCAUAGGAAUAAGGACCGGCUAAUUACGUUCCAGCAGCCGCGGUAAUACGUAAGGUCCGAGCGUUUUCCGGAAUUAUUGGGCGUAAAGGGUACGUAGGCGGGUAAGCAAGUUAGAAGUGAAGUCCUAUAGCUCAACGCUUGUAAGCUUUUAAAACUUCUCAUCUUGAGGUAUGGAAGUGAAAGUGGAAUUCCUAGUGUAGCGGUGAAAUGCGCAGAUAUUAGGAGGAAUACCGGUGGCGAAGGCGGCUUUCUGGCCAUAACCUGACGCUGAGGUACGAAAGCGUGGGUAGCAAACAGG